UGGCAGCAGAUGUUAGCUCAGGGCUAAUCUUCCUCAAAAAAAAAAAAAAAGUUUUCCUCAGUGGUUAGGACACAAUCGUUGAUGAUACAGGCAAGGGAGCAGUUGUCUCUAGGAACCAGAGGCAGGGCUCCUGCUUGUCCACCUGCUUCGUUCAGGGUAGGGUAACAUCCCUCUUCUUCCUUCCCCUCAUGGUCCCCUAUGGAGUCUUUUCUCUUCUUCCUAACAAAACAUAACGAAGCGCACAACAGUGAAUAACGCUUCAGGCUACAUGCUUUUGAAGAGCAGUAACAUAACGUUUCCAGCUACGUGUGGACUCAUUUUAUGUCUUAAUGACUAUGGAAUGAUAUGGCCAUUUACACGAGUAGAUCUGGGAGCAUCUCGAAUAAUAUUUUUAUCCUCUGGGAGUAGGUUGAGUUUCACGGAAUCUGAAAUAAUGUCUCUCUUCUGCCUUUAACAACGAGCAAACCCAUCCCUCCCUUGAGGUAGAAGCACUAUUUUCCUGCUUCCCUACUACUGCCGCGCAGCCAAUAGCCUGGUCGGUCAUGGUGAACGCUCUUCGCUGCCCCGCUAGAGUUCUAGGAACUACAUUACCCAGAAGAUCUUGCGCCAGGAGGCCGCAGGGAGGAGUGAAUGAAGGAUUAGGAUAAGGGAUUUUCGUGCGUACCCAUCAUCGCGUCGGGGCGGGACUUCCGGCAUCUUCCCCGUGGCCGCCGUUUUGGCCGAACUCUGGUGGGUUUACCUCAGUUUCCCCAUAGCCGGAUGGGAGCUGAGGUCCUGGGACCGAGGAGGCACCAGGCCCGGGCCAGGGAGCGCCGCGCCCGGCGCCUCGUCUCCCGCCGUUCCCCGCCCCGCUCCGCCCCCGAGGCCGAUGGCGGCGGCCGCGCGGAGGGAGCCGGCUCAGGCUGCUCAAAGGAAAAACAGUCGAGGAGAGUGAUGAAGACAUGGAGGCACUAGAAUCUGUUCACCCUCACACUGCUGGAAUAAAUCUCUGUGAAGAAGAUUCCUAGUCUUGGAAGCCACUCCAGAUGGCUCAUCAUUCUCCUGUCUUCCCUUUUUGUGGAAGUUCAAAAAUCCUGCAGAUUUAGACGGGACUCGUUAUUACAAGAAACACAGUGACGUGAUCCACGGAAACCACAACAGGAUGGAAUGUUUUUGAACAUGCUUCAGAAUCACCUGAAAGAUUGUUGAAACACAGAUUCUAGGGCUUGAUCCACAGAAUGUCACUAGGUUGCAUUCUGAAAUGAGAAAGCAUUUCUAACCAUUCCCCAGGUGACGCUGAUGGUAAAGGACCAGGAAUCGAACUUGAAAAUGAGGAUUCUAUGAAAAAUGAGGCUGUGUGGUUCCAGCCCCUAGUUCACCAAAGUGGAAAUUUGUAGACUCCUGGAGGCAGAGGCAAGCUUUCACACGCUUCCCCUGAGUGUCUCUGCAAUGAGCAAGUCAGGCUAAUGGCUGACUUAGCUGGAGUCCUAGGCCUUCCACUGCUGAGGAGCCCUGUGAAGGCUCAACCCACCAAAACUGUCUAGCCACCUGCUUGUUCUGUCAGAACUUAUGCCAGAAAUACCCACAUAGUCAUCCCACAUCUCCUUCAAGUUUUUGGUCAAUGACCCUCUCAAAGAGGCCUCCCUUACUGCACUAUGUAAUAUCCAUACCAUAUGCUGCUUCUAAGCACAUUCAUCCUAUGUACUUUGCAUUGUGCCUACCACAUUCCAACCUACUAUAUGAUUUAGUAUUCCUUCUUUUAUGAUUGCUGUGUUUUCCUUGAAUAUAACCCCAGGAGGGUAGGAGUCUUCCUCCGGGGGUCCCUUUUGUGCCCCAGUGUCUCUCAUGGAUCUCCAAUAACGUCUUGAAGCCAAAUAUUUACUCACUGAUCAUUUGUUAGAACAGUGAAUAAAGACGACACCUCAGCUUCCCUGUAUGUUUUUACAUUUCUGCCCACAUUUUUUUUUUUUCCUUGAAGAUCAGCCCUGAGCCAACCACUGCCAAUCUUCCUCUUUUU
Molecule: non-coding RNA, 1996 nt
Organism: Equus caballus (horse)
Lineage: Eukaryota; Metazoa; Chordata; Mammalia; Perissodactyla; Equidae
Source: RefSeq, a predicted model, not a curated record